GAUGAAGAACGUAGCGAAAUGCGAUACUUGGUGUGAAUUGCAGAAUCCCGUGAACCAUCGAGUCUUUGAACGCAAGUUGCGCCCGAAGCCAUCAGGUUGAGGGCACGUCUGCCUGGGCGUCACAUAUCGUUGCCCAAUGCCUAUUGCAGUGCAAUAGGAAUUUCUAGGGCGAAUGAUGGCUUCCCGUGAGCGUUGUUGCCUCGCGGUUGGUUGAAAAUCGAGUCCUUGGUAGGGUGUGCCAUGGUAGAUGGUGGUCGAGUUAGAACGAUACCGAUCAUGUGCAUGCUCCCCAAAAUAUGGCCUCUAUGACCCACACGCGUCUUUUGACGCUCAUGACGAGACCUCAGGUCAGGCGGGGCUACCCGCUGAAUUUAAGCAUAUCGAUAAGCGGAGGA
RNAcentral lists this unclassified non-coding RNA (395 nucleotides) under soil metagenome. RNAcentral describes it as "partial contains 5.8S ribosomal RNA, internal transcribed spacer 2, and large subunit ribosomal RNA". The stretch from base 1 to 122 matches the Rfam family "5.8S ribosomal RNA", at positions 35 to 154 of the family's 154-position model. The record is from RNAcentral.